GGGGUUGUGGCUCAGCGGUAGAGUGCUCGCCUAGCAAGUGUGAGGCCCUGGGUUCCAUCCUCAGCACUACA
This 71-nucleotide transfer RNA is filed under the name Marmota monax (woodchuck). Its description in RNAcentral is "tRNA.Ala". The stretch from base 6 to 66 matches the Rfam family "tRNA", at positions 6 to 65 of the family's 71-position model. Rfam says of the family: Transfer RNA (tRNA) molecules are approximately 80 nucleotides in length. Their secondary structure includes four short double-helical elements and three loops (D, anti-codon, and T loops). The record is from RNAcentral. Lineage: Eukaryota; Metazoa; Chordata; Mammalia; Rodentia; Sciuridae.